RNAcentral lists this ribosomal RNA (165 nucleotides) under Fagus japonica. RNAcentral describes it as "5.8S ribosomal RNA". It matches the Rfam family "5.8S ribosomal RNA". From Rfam's summary of the family: 5.8S ribosomal RNA (5.8S rRNA) is a component of the large subunit of the eukaryotic ribosome. It is transcribed by RNA polymerase I as part of the 45S precursor that also contains 18S and 28S rRNA. The record is from RNAcentral. Lineage: Eukaryota; Viridiplantae; Streptophyta; Magnoliopsida; Fagales; Fagaceae.
CUCUCGGCAACGGAUAUCUCGGCUCUCGCAUCGAUGAAGAACGUAGCGAAAUGCGAUACUUGGUGUGAAUUGCAGAAUCCCGUGAAUCAUCGAGUCUUUGAACGCAAGUUGCGCCCGACGCCAUUCGGUCGAGGGCACGUCUGCCUGGGUGUCACGCACCGUUGC